Molecule: ribosomal RNA, 497 nt
Filed under: uncultured bacterium
Lineage: Bacteria
Description: partial 16S ribosomal RNA
Rfam family: Bacterial small subunit ribosomal RNA
Source: RNAcentral
GAUGAACGCUGGCGGCGUGCCUAAUACAUGCAAGUCGAGCGAACGGACGAGAAGCUUGCUUCUCUGAUGUUAGCGGCGGACGGGUGAGUAACACGUGGAUAACCUACCUAUAAGACUGGGAUAACUUCGGGAAACCGGAGCUAAUACCGGAUAAUAUUUUGAACCGCAUGGUUCAAAAGUGAAAGACGGUCUUGCUGUCACUUAUAGAUGGAUCCGCGCUGCAUUAGCUAGUUGGUAAGGUAACGGCUUACCAAGGCAACGAUGCAUAGCCGACCUGAGAGGGUGGUCGGCCACACUGGAGCGGAGCCACGGUCCAGACUCCUACGGGAGGCAGCAGUCGGGUACCUUCCGCAGUGGGCGAGAGUCUGACGGAGCAACGCCGCGUGAGUGAUGAAGGUCUUCGGAGCGUAAUACUCUGUUAUUAGUGAAGAACAUAUGUGUAAGUAACUGUGCACAUCGUGACGGUACCUAAUCAGAAAGCCACGGCUAACUACGUG